AGACGUAAGUGGCAAGCGUUGUUCGGAAUUACUGGGCAUAAAGGGUGCGUAGGCGGCUUGGCAAGUUGGGUGUGAAAGCCCUCGGCUCAACCGAGGAAUUGCGCCCAAAACUGCCUUGAUAGAGUGAGAUAGAGGUGAGCGGAACUUAUGGUGGAGCGGUGAAAUGCGUUGAUAUCAUAAGGAACGCCAGUGGCGAAAGCGGCUCACUGGAUCUCUACUGACGCUGAGGCACGAAAGCUAGGGUAGCGAACAGGAUUAGAAACCCCGGUAGUCC
Molecule: ribosomal RNA, 274 nt
Filed under: uncultured bacterium
Lineage: Bacteria
Description: partial 16S ribosomal RNA
Rfam family: Bacterial small subunit ribosomal RNA
Source: RNAcentral